UACGAAGGGAGCGAGCGUUGUUCGGAAUCACUGGGCUUAAAGCGUGCGUAGGCGGAUAUACAAGUCAGAAGUGAAAUCCCCGGGCUUAACCCGGGAACUGCUUUUGAGACUGUAUGUCUAGAAUUCGGUAGAGGUUAAUGGAAUGUCCAGUGUAGAGGUGAAAUUCGCAGAUAUUGGACGGAACACCAGUGGCGAAGGCGAUUAACUGGGCCGAUAUUGACGCUGAGGCACGAAAGCGUGGGUAGCAAACAGG
Molecule: ribosomal RNA, 253 nt
Filed under: uncultured bacterium
Lineage: Bacteria
Description: partial 16S ribosomal RNA
Rfam family: Bacterial small subunit ribosomal RNA
Source: RNAcentral